This is a long non-coding RNA of Mus musculus (house mouse), 621 nucleotides long. RefSeq annotates it as RIKEN cDNA 4930535O05 gene. NCBI's taxonomy places the organism in Eukaryota, Metazoa, Chordata, Mammalia, Rodentia, Muridae. The transcript has 3 exons. The record is from RefSeq and is marked validated.
CACUUUGACAGACUCCUGCUGACUGGCGGAGCUUUGGGGUUUCUUCUGGAUUGAGCCACUACUGCUGAUUCCUGUUUUAUGUUUUGCUGGUGGACUGGACUGCAGACAACGAAGAUUGGAGUCACCCCAAGGAACUACUUCUAGACAGUUCAGUGCUACCCUACCAUGAACCCAGAUCAUAAAACUGUGUCAGAAUUAGGAUAGCUGUCUCCAAAGCCCACACUGUUAAUAGGACUGGUGUCCCUCCAUUCUGAUCCUGUGAGUCUGCACUGGGUGUGAGGCUUAUCAGCCAGGAAAUCCCUGAGGUCCCUCCUUGAGGCUACACAUCCACAAGUGGAGAGGAUGAGAAGACUGAGUCCCAGACCAAGCUAUGAAGCACAACCCUUGCUGGAAGCUGCCAGAGAAGCACCAAGCAGAAUGCCUGGCCAGGCUACACCCAGAGAGGCCCAUGUUUCCAGAAUCACUUCCCUGAGGAAGCUUCCCAAGGGAGCUCCUAUGACUGCUGUCUUAUCAUGGGGAAACAGUGGGGAAACCCAGUGCUGCCCACCCCCAUCCCCAUCCUGCCCCCCAGACAAAGAGAGCUUGGAAUGAAAUCCUCUCCCCAGGGAGUGUAGAAUGUCA